RNAcentral lists this ribosomal RNA (330 nucleotides) under uncultured bacterium. RNAcentral's name for it is "bacterial SSU rRNA". It matches the Rfam family "Bacterial small subunit ribosomal RNA", at positions 568 to 898 of the family's 1533-position model. The record is from RNAcentral.
UUCGUAGGCGGUGUGGCAAGUUGGGAGUGAAAUCUCUGGGCUCAACCCAGAGACGGCUUCCAAAACUGCCGUGCUUGAGUGUGGGAGAGGCUCGUGGAAUUGCAGGUGUAGCGGUGAAAUGCGUAGAUAUCUGCAGGAACACCCGUGGCGAAAGCGGCGAGCUGGACCACUACUGACGCUGAAGAACGAAAGCUAGGGGAGCAAACAGGAUUAGAUACCCUGGUAGUCCUAGCCCUAAACGAUCAGGACUUGGGGUGCCACCCGUUCGGGUGGCGUCCCGGAGCUAACGCGUUAAGUCCUGCACCUGGGGAGUACGGUCGCAAGACUGAA